Molecule: long non-coding RNA, 252 nt
Filed under: Brassica napus (rape)
Lineage: Eukaryota; Viridiplantae; Streptophyta; Magnoliopsida; Brassicales; Brassicaceae
Description: long non-coding RNA (BNAP_LNC020011)
Source: RNAcentral
UGUAACAAACAAGCCUUGAUGCCAAACCAAAAUUCAGCUCCUUGAACUUGAUGAACACUCCCAACUUUGAGUCCUUCAGCUCCUCAUAUUCGUCAGCAUGUAGAGCUUGUCUUUCAUCAGUAUGAUACGAAAUGAUUUUGAGUGCAUGGGGCUCUUCCCCUAAUGUAUAUAUCCUCCGUUGGAGUUCUGGUGAAUCCAUUUUCCAGUCUGCAAAACAAUCAAAAACCAACAUCUCAAACACAAACCAAACGU